This is a long non-coding RNA of Micropterus dolomieu (smallmouth bass), 1228 nucleotides long. RefSeq lists it as uncharacterized. The record is from RefSeq and is a predicted model, not a curated record. The transcript is spliced from 3 exons. Lineage: Eukaryota; Metazoa; Chordata; Actinopteri; Centrarchiformes; Centrarchidae.
UUUAUUUUAGAUGUUCCUUCGGAUGUUGCUUUGAGUGUUUCCAGUAGAUUUAGUUACUUUUGUUGGACUUUGGAUUUUCGUGCUUUGUGUUUUUUGUGGACUGCUCACACCUAACAACCUCGUUCAGCCCAAGAGGCUCAACAUAACUGAAUGAACUGGCCCCAAGUGAUAGACAACCACUUCAAUACACAGGUUGCAGGUUGGAUCUGCUGCUUGUCUGUUAUCCUCCCUCUCAGAGGUUCAGAGCAGCCAUUAAACACAGAGGCUCCUGGCUGACCUUAUCGAAGAAUCCACCUCAGGAGCAGGAAAUUCAUCUUUCCUGACAAUCCAGUGACUGGACGACUGCAUGCAUCAAGUCAGCAAACUCUGACAGCCACGCACAGGGAGAAAAACGGCAACACCAUUUCACCCUGAUUUAAUGCUUGGACAGCACGCACGCCUGGGAUGUUUUGUAAUAUGGAUUAGGAAACAGACUGUCACUGGUUCGCUUCUUAUCCAUCAUGGGUUUCUUCAAAUAGGGCUUAUUCAGGGGUAUAACCUGACUUCUUAUCAAUAGAAAGGGGUUUAUUGUGCUCCUUAAAAGGGGUUUUCAUCCAUUUCAUUCCAAGUAAGGACACUGAAAGAAGGAAAUAACAAAACAGGAUGGAUGAACCAUGUUUUGUGAAAUUACAGUUCCCAAAGAUCUACUGCGUUCAAUUAACAUGAUAAAGUGUUCCAAAUGACACAUCCCUAUGAGGAGUGCAGGAAAAUACAUCUAGAAGCAGAAGACAGAGGGCUGAUUAAACCAGUCAGACAAAAACAUCAAAAGCACAGCAAACAAGUUAUGAAAUUAUGGGCAGGAGAUUAAGCAGCGGUCACCAGGAUACUCCAGUAUUCAUCAGACUCAGCUGUUCUCAGCAGACUCUGUGAGCCGAGGUGUUAUGAAAACUAAAUGCAGUGAGUCAGUGCUGUGCCCACAGGUCAGCGAGGUGAGGGGAGGGUGAAUAAAAAUACAAAAGCCUUUUCCUAGGAGAAAAAAAAUAAACAGAUAAAAUAAAUCUGUCACACCCCUCUUUACAAACAGGGAGAAAAAAAAUUUACAAACAGAAAAGAACAAAUUCUGAAACUACUGUGUCUGUCUGCUCUCUGUUUGAUCGAGACUUUUUGUAAGAAGAAGCAUAGAAAAAAACAAUUUGAUCCUCUGUAUGUGACUCUUGAGCAAAACAUAAAAACUCCUGAGGUCACUAAA